RNAcentral lists this ribosomal RNA (484 nucleotides) under uncultured bacterium. RNAcentral describes it as "bacterial SSU rRNA". It matches the Rfam family "Bacterial small subunit ribosomal RNA", at positions 20 to 507 of the family's 1533-position model. The record is from RNAcentral.
UGGCUCAGAUUGAACGCUGGCGGCAGGCCUAACACAUGCAAGUCGAGCGGUAGCAGUCCUUCGGGAGCUGACGAGCGGCGGACGGGUGAGUAACGCGUAGGAAUCUACCCAGUAGAGGGGGAUAGCCCGGGGAAACUCGGAUUAAUACCGCAUAAUCUCUAUGGAGCAAAGAGGGCUUAGGCUCUUGCUACUGGAUGAGCCUGCGUGGGAUUAGCUAGUUGGUGAGGUAAGGGCUCACCAAGGCGACGAUCUCUAGCUGGUCUGAGAGGAUGAUCAGUCACACUGGAACUGAGACACGGUCCAGACUCCUACGGGAGGCAGCAGUGGGGAAUAUUGCACAAUGGGCGAAAGCCUGAUGCAGCCAUGCCGCGUGUGUGAAGAAGGCCUUAGGGUUGUAAAGCACUUUCAGUGGGGAGGAAGGCGUAACGGUUAAUACCCGUUAUGAUUGACGUUACCUACAGAAGAAGCACCGGCUAACUCCGUG